CGUAAGUGUUUGUUUUGACAUGUUCGUGAAAUUAUGUUACUUAAAUGAAUUGAUUGUUGUUUAAAGUGGGAAAGAAGAAAGUUUUUGUUGAGUCUUACGCUUUGUUUGGUCUUGGCAGAUUGACAUUCUGUUCCUGGAAGAGGCUUAUAUCUGAAUUAUGAUAUAACUUAGUAAGCUGACUAUAACUCUGUCCACUCCAAUACUUGACAUAUGCCUCUAGUAGUAGUUGGUUGGUUAUUAGUAAUUUGUUUGUCGCACUUGGGAUCACCUUAAACACGAUAAAAAUCUUGGUUGGUUGGACAUGUCUUAUUGAUGCAAUUAGGGGCAUGUUUUGCUCCCUUGCCAAUACAGGCUUCUUGUCAAUGUGCGAUGGCAGAAUCUCGGUUGGUUAAAAAUUUGGCCAAAGUUCAAAGCUUGUGGCUUAUGUUAGCUUGGGAUCGUGGUUGCUUGUGUGCGUGGUGCUUAAGGGGACGAGCAAAAUGUGGGCAUUGAACCUUGUCAUGUGCAUGCUAUGCCCCUCGAACGUGAUGUGUGUGGCAACGUAGUAGGUAC
RNAcentral lists this long non-coding RNA (552 nucleotides) under Olea europaea subsp. europaea. Lineage: Eukaryota; Viridiplantae; Streptophyta; Magnoliopsida; Lamiales; Oleaceae. The record is from RNAcentral.